UGCAGUCGAGCGGUAGCACAGGAGAGCUUGCUCUCCGGGUGACGAGCGGCGGACGGGUGAGUAAUGUCUGGGAAACUGCCUGAUGGAGGGGGAUAACUACUGGAAACGGUAGCUAAUACCGCAUAACGUCUUCGGACCAAAGUGGGGGACCUUCGGGCCUCACGCCAUCAGAUGUGCCCA
RNAcentral lists this ribosomal RNA (180 nucleotides) under Serratia quinivorans. RNAcentral describes it as "partial 16S ribosomal RNA". It matches the Rfam family "Bacterial small subunit ribosomal RNA", at positions 60 to 233 of the family's 1533-position model. The record is from RNAcentral. Lineage: Bacteria; Pseudomonadati; Pseudomonadota; Gammaproteobacteria; Enterobacterales; Yersiniaceae.